UUUACCUGAGUGGGGUAAAGCAAGGUGCUGGUGUGGUGAAGUAGGUAAAUGUAACUGACAUUGUUAGCCUCAGCUCCUGUGUGUUAGUGUGUCUUUGUCACUGACAAGCAUAAAUUAUGUUUUCUUUUUGUAGAAUGAAGACAUCAAUGUGAAGUGUGAUUGUGUUAUGAGCUGUCUGAGUAUCUACCUCAGUAAAGACCUGGAUACAUUGGUUAAAGAAUACAUGGCAGCUGAGGAUCUGAGACAGUCCAUAAAGCUGAAGCCAUAUGUCAAAAGGUGAGCGGUAAAUGGGGAGAGAGAAGAUUAGGAUAGAGAAUGGUUGGUCCUUUCUCUUCCCUAUCAUCCUCCAUCCAACUCCACCAUGAGUGAAGGUUUGGAGAGGGUUGGAUAGGAGAGGAGUAAACCUUAACCUUAUCCAGGAGCUUAGGAGAGA
Molecule: long non-coding RNA, 433 nt
Organism: Astyanax mexicanus (Mexican tetra)
Lineage: Eukaryota; Metazoa; Chordata; Actinopteri; Characiformes; Acestrorhamphidae
Exons: 3
Source: RefSeq, a predicted model, not a curated record